GUUCGGGCCCGCGGCGAGAGGCGGCGGCGCUUGCGCUCGCAGUGCGCGGCCGGCGGCGAGCAUAGUGGCGGCGAAAGCUGGGCGUGAAGCUAUUUUUUUCAGCGUUUGGUCCCGGUUUUAGCCACUCAUCAUCGGGGCUAAAGGUUUUUCUAGUUCCGGUUGAUAUAACCGUGACUAAAGGUUGGGACUUUAGUCUCGGACUGACGGUCCCGGUUGGAAAACCGGGACUAUUGUAUGUUUCCGAUCGGGAUUAUUGACCUAUUCUGUAGUAGUGGGUUCAACCCUGAAGGGAUAUAUUCCUCUCAUAUGCGGGUCGGAGUGGUCCGUUCAAGUCGAGCGGAC
Molecule: long non-coding RNA, 342 nt
Filed under: Panicum hallii
Lineage: Eukaryota; Viridiplantae; Streptophyta; Magnoliopsida; Poales; Poaceae
Description: long non-coding RNA (PHAL_LNC000824)
Source: RNAcentral